GAUGAACGCUGGCGGCGUGCCUAAUACAUGCAAGUCGAGCGAACAGACGAGGAGCUUGCUCCUCUGACGUUAGCGGCGGACGGGUGAGUAACACGUGGAUAACCUACCUAUAAGACUGGGAUAACUUCGGGAAACCGGAGCUAAUACCGGAUAAUAUAUUGAACCGCAUGGUUCAAUAGUGAAAGACGGUUUUGCUGUCACUUAUAGAUGGAUCCGCGCCACAUUAGCUAGUUGGUAAGGUAACGGCUUACCAAGGCAACGAUGCGUAGCCGACCUGAGAGGGUGGUCGGCCACCCUGGAACUGAGACACGGUCCAGACUCCUACGGGAGGCCGCAGUAGGGAAUCUUCCGCAAUGGGCGAAAGCCUGACGGAGCAACGCCGCGUGAGUGAUGAAGGUCUUCGGAUCGUAAAACUCUGUUAUUAGGGAAGAACAAAUGUGUAAGUAACUAUGCACGUCUUGACGGUACCUAAUCAGAAAGCCACGGCUAACUACGUG
This 497-nucleotide ribosomal RNA is filed under the name uncultured bacterium. Its description in RNAcentral is "partial 16S ribosomal RNA". It matches the Rfam family "Bacterial small subunit ribosomal RNA", at positions 28 to 507 of the family's 1533-position model. The record is from RNAcentral.